Uranotaenia lowii is the source of this 2286-nucleotide long non-coding RNA. RefSeq lists it as uncharacterized. The record is from RefSeq and is a predicted model, not a curated record. The transcript is spliced from 3 exons. NCBI's taxonomy places the organism in Eukaryota, Metazoa, Arthropoda, Insecta, Diptera, Culicidae.
UUUAUGAUUACCAUAAUAGUGACUAUACAAGUUAUCGUCUUUAAAUCAUCUAAUUUUUUAAGAAAUUUUCAUUCUUGAUGCGCCUCCGCUUGUAAUGAUAACUAAUUAUUGCUGGAAGAUACAGUUUGUGAUCCAUGAAAUCUGAUUCGUGUCUUAACUAUAUUUGCAUCAUUCGCAAACAAAAUAGAAAAUGGCGUUUUUGAGCUAGCUCUCCGACAUCUGAUUGGAAGAAAAAUCGUUUCCUCGUGAAAUAUUCAACACUCAAGUUAAAUCGAACUACCUGAAGGAAGCAGUAUUGGAAACCGCAAAUAUUCGUACUGGUGGUAAGUACUACGAUUUCGCACUAAAGGCACAAAGUUCGUAAUACUUUUUUGUAACAUGCCUAAUUUUUCAUUUUAUUGUUUCUUUUCUUUUUAUCAAAUUUCAGAUACUUUGCCGUUCACAAUCUUCCGGCUGGAGGUGAACUGGAAAGGCCGGGAAUUUGUUUGGUGUGAAUGUGUACAAUAUUAAGCGUACCAGUGCCGUUAUCCCCCAGCGGAGGUGGAAAAUAUCUCCGAGGGAAGAUUAACAUCCAACAUCAGUAUAAAAAGGUACAAAACUUUAAGAUGAAAGAACCUUCCGAAGAAAAGGAACUGUCUAGAAGUGUCUGGAUGUCUUCCCUGUACUUCAAUUUAUGGAUGGCAUUAUUAGACCUAGUAUUGAAGACUACCGCAGGUGAUUCAAAAUUAAUAGGAAGAAAAAAUCCCAAUGAACCCCUUCACCGUGCACAUGUCCAAAGGAGCCACAGUAGAAAACCGAUGGCAACGUCACAGGGUCCAGUUACGGUGGCAACGCACAGGAUCCAGUUCCGGUGGUUUGUUCCAGUGUCACGCGAAAGAUUGUUCCGGAUUUUCCCUAUGUAUUGAUGUGCUAACAUUCAAUCAGCAUCAUCCGGUUCUCGGCACUGGCUUGUUUCGAAGGCCAAAAAUAAUUACCUGCAGCUGGAGAGGAACAUAGUCGAUGGAAUGGCACAGGAAUCCAAAGACAGGUUUGAUUUUGUUCGGUGGGAACAGUAACUGGAUUCUGAAGCUGUACAAAUCGAAUACCACCAAGCUACCCUGUCCCUGCAAGCUUUGCCUUUGGCUCACCAUUCAUCCCAUGUACGUUGGAUAUACAGAAUACAUACACAGAUGGAUUUCGAAGGAGCAUCUUUUACAGCAAGCUCUUCAGUAGAAAUCUAGGACUUUCUUCGUAUUAAUGUAGGCCACACGAUUAAAUUUUAUGUAUGAAUUCGAGAAACAGGGUCGAUUUAUAUCAGGUGUGAUUUUUUUUAUUUUCAUAUUAGUAUUGAAAACAUAAGAAAUUUUCUAUUACCUUUCCAAGAAUCCUCAUUAUCAAUUUAAAUCGAACAGCAUAGAGCUAAUAUUUGUUAAAUGGCCUAAUAACAAUGAUGAUGAGAGCGACAGCGAUUUUCAUAUGUUUUCAUGACACAUACAGGCAAGGUGACGAAUGAUUUUAUGAUGGCUGGAUUUGGAUUUCAAUACUCAAAAAGUUCCCGUUUUGAUAUACUGGCGUGUCUUCGAACAACAAGAGUGCGAAUCAAUUUGAACAGCCAUUGAUGCUUAAAAGUGUCCAGUAACCCAAGUACAUUAACAUUAUUCUAAUAGAAAGACGAUUGCAACUCUAUUGGUUCGUUAGCCUACCCAUAGAAAAUGGACUCUUAUUGAGAUUCUUUUGUGGCAAGAAAAACAAUGAAUUUUUGUAAUUAACAACGUAAUGUCUUUUUAAUAUUUAUAUUAUAUUAUUUUAUAUUUAUAUUUAAUAUAUAGGUAAUGUUGCUGAAAAAAUAUUAGUGAUCUUUUAUAGAAAAAACAAAAUUUAAUUCAGUGUCGAGAUCAAUGUAUAAAUAAGAAUGUAUCAGUUGAAAAUGUUACUAUUGAAAUAAAAUUGAUAAAAACUAACAAAUUUUUAGUUUAAGAUGUGUUUAAUUUGUGAUUAAUUAUCAAUCAUAACCCGAAUCGUCCAACCUAGGUGGUUUUGUAUCUUUUUAUUAUUAUUCAGCGAUACGUUCGAUCAUCAACAUUUUCUAAAUGGAUCAUUAGGAAAAGAUUACACGUAUCAUAUAUCCCGGGUUGCGUCCGUUUUGAAAAAAGAAAAAAGCAAAAAAAAUGAAUGGUUACUCUACUUAACGACCCGUUCGCUGUAUCGUAAAGUGCGUCCAAACGAUUCCAUUCGAUGGAAAAAAGACUAGCUUAAUCGUACAUUAAUAAUCCCAAACUAUAAAGCUUAUCUUUCGUGUGUCUUGGG